RNAcentral lists this ribosomal RNA (410 nucleotides) under uncultured bacterium. Its description in RNAcentral is "bacterial SSU rRNA". It matches the Rfam family "Bacterial small subunit ribosomal RNA", at positions 975 to 1392 of the family's 1533-position model. The record is from RNAcentral.
CAGUAUUUCAGGUACUGGGUGAGCCUGGGGUGCCCGCGAGGGAGCCCCAGCACAGGUGCUGCAUGGCCGUCGUCAGCUCGUGUCGUGAGAUGUUGGGUUAAGUCCCGCAACGAGCGCAACCCCUGCCCUUAGUUGCCAGCGGGUUGGGCCGGGCACUCUAAGGGGACUGCCUGCGAAAGCAGGAGGAAGGCGGGGACGACGUCUGGUCAUCAUGGCCCUUACGGCCUGGGCGACACACGUGCUACAAUGCCCACUACAGAGCGAGGCGACCCAGUGAUGGGGAGCGAAUCGCAAAAAGGUGGGCGUAGUUCGGAUUGGGGUCUGCAACCCGACCCCAUGAAGCCGGAAUCGCUAGUAAUCGCGGAUCAGCCAUGCCGCGGUGAAUACGUUCCCGGGCCUUGUACACACCG